CAGUUGAUUUUGUCAUGAUGUAGCCUACCCUACAGCCUGCAUCAUGAAACAUGACGAAACAAAUUGUUGCUAUUGUAUACUUAUUUUUCUGUGAUUCCGAAUACUGAAUUAAACUUCAUUUGUAAAAUCAGUCCGUCAUUACAACAAGUUGACUUAGUGCUCAGUCAAUUUCCAUCCAUUAGAUCCUUAUGCUCUCAAAAGCAUGAAACUCAUAUUUGAAGCCCACAUACAGUGGAAUUAGACAAAAGUUCUUGCGCAUGGACCAUAGGAUCUUUUCUGAAUCUUGCAAGUGUAACCUGUGUCACAAUGUUUGUCGAGUGUACAACUGUUUCUACACUCUACAGCCGUUACGAAGGCAACCCAGCUGAGAGAGUUCCAGUUUCAGUGAAUGAACAUGAAGUGUGUGAAGUGUAUUUAGUACAUUUACCAGAUCUGCUUGAUGAAAGUCAAAUGCCUUACUGAAUUUGUCACCCAAAUGAUAAAGAACUAUUUGUGACGUCCCCUGAGAUCGAGAGUCGGCCGCCAGUUUCAAUCUACAACGCAGUUUCUUCAUGGAAUCGUGAGGUCCUGGCACGGAGAUCCUUGAGCCAACGCUGGCUUUUGUCCAUGACAGAAAAGGGACUUCCACCAACGUUCGGAUCCUUAUCUUCACGACGUACGCUGCUUCUUGUGCUUCACUGGCGAAUUAUUAGAUCACUUCAGGGUUCGCUUCCGUCCGCUGUGAAAUACCUGCAGUCACUCGCCACGGGAUUAUGCCCAGGAAAUGCAGCGGAGACGUCGAGAAGAUGGACACCAAAACAUCUCCG
Molecule: long non-coding RNA, 806 nt
Organism: Daphnia pulex (common water flea)
Lineage: Eukaryota; Metazoa; Arthropoda; Branchiopoda; Diplostraca; Daphniidae
Exons: 5
Source: RefSeq, a predicted model, not a curated record